RNAcentral lists this ribosomal RNA (604 nucleotides) under Marmoricola sp. CMT28. RNAcentral's name for it is "bacterial SSU rRNA". It matches the Rfam family "Bacterial small subunit ribosomal RNA", at positions 271 to 885 of the family's 1533-position model. The record is from RNAcentral. Lineage: Bacteria; Bacillati; Actinomycetota; Actinomycetes; Propionibacteriales; Nocardioidaceae.
AGGCUUCGACGGGUAGCCGGCCUGAGAGGGUGACCGGCCACACUGGGACUGAGACACGGCCCAGAYUCCUACGGGAGGCAGCAGUGGGGAAUAUUGGACAAUGGGCGAAAGCCUGAUCCAGCAACGCCGCGUGAGGGAUGACGGCCUUCGGGUUGUAAACCUCUUUCAGCGCAGACGAAGCGAAAGUGACGGUAUGCGCAGAAGAAGCACCGGCCAACUACGUGCCAGCAGCCGCGGUAAUACGUAGGGUGCGAGCGUUGUCCGGAAUUAUUGGGCGUAAAGGGCUCGUAGGCGGUCUGUCGCGUCAGGAGUGAAAACUCGGGGCUCAACCCCGAGCCUGCUUCUGAUACGGGCAGACUAGAGGUAUGCAGGGGAGAACGGAAUUCCUGGUGUAGCGGUGAAAUGCGCAGAUAUCAGGAGGAACACCGGUGGCGAAGGCGGUUCUCUGGGCAUUACCUGACGCUGAGGAGCGAAAGUGUGGGGAGCGAACAGGAUUAGAUACCCUGGUAGUCCACACCGUAAACGUUGGGCGCUAGGUGUGGGGCUCAUUCCACGAGUUCCGUGCCGCAGCUAACGCAUUAAGCGCCCCGCCUGGGGAGUACGG